RNAcentral lists this long non-coding RNA (1152 nucleotides) under Takifugu rubripes (torafugu). Its description in RNAcentral is "lncRNA (ENSTRUG00000029752.1)". Lineage: Eukaryota; Metazoa; Chordata; Actinopteri; Tetraodontiformes; Tetraodontidae. The record is from RNAcentral.
AUGUUAACAGUGGCAGUAGUAGUAGUAGCAGCAUUAGCAAUGGUAGUAGCAGUAGCAGAAACUGUAGUGACAGUAGUAGUAGUGGUAGUAGUAACAGUAGCAGAAACAGUAGUAACAGUAGUAGUAGUAGUGGUAGUUGAAACAGUAGCAGAAACAGUAGUAACAGUAGUAGUAGUAGUGGUAGUUGAAACAGUAGCAGAAACAGUAGUAACAGUAGUAGUAGUAGUAGUGGUAGUAGUAACAGUAGGGGUAGUACCGGUAGUAACAGUAGAAAUAGUAGUUGAAACAGUAGUAAUAGUAGUAGUAGUUGAAACAGUAUUAGUAGUAGUAUUAGUGGUAGUAGUAACAGGAGAAGUAGUAGUAGAAACAGUAGCAAUAGUAGUAGUAGUAGUAGUAGUUGAAACAGUAUUAGUAGUAGUAUUAGUGGUAGUAGUAACAGGAGAAGUAGUAGUAGUAGUGGAAACAGUAGCAAUAGUAGUAGUAGUAGUAGUAGUUGAAACAGUAGUAGUAUUAGUGGUAGUAGUAACAGUCGAAGUAUUAGUGGAAACGGUAGUAAUAGUAGUAGUAGUAGUAGUAGUGCUGAUAGUGGCAGUAGCAGCAUUAGCAAUGGUAGUAGCAGUAGCAGAAACAGUAGUAACAGUAGUAGUAGUUGAAACAGUAGUAGUAGUAGUAUUAGUGGUAGUAGUAACAGGAGAAGUAGUAGUGGAAACAGUAGUAAUAGUAGUAGUUGAAACAGUAGUAGUAGUAGUAUUAGUGGUAGUAGCAACAGUAGAAGUAGUGGUAGUUGAAACAGUAGUAGAAGUAGUAUUAGUGGUAGUAGCAACAGUAGAAGUAGUAGUGGAAACGGUAGUAAUGGUAGUAAUAGUAGUAGUAAUAGUUGUAGUAGUGCUGAUAGUGGCGGUAGCAGCAUUAACAAUGGUAGUAGCAGUAGCAGUAACAGUAGUAGUAGUAGUAGAAUUAGUGGUAGUAGUAACAGUAGAAGUAGUAGAGGAAACGGUAGUAUUAGUAGUGUGGCGAGCUCGAGUUGCGGAAGAACCCAGAUGCAGAUUUCAGUCAGCUUAUUCUGCUGAUCAAAUGCAGAAAGAGCCACUUAAAUUAACACUCAACAGUACAUUAACACGAACAAAGGGAAGUCUUCAAUGGCACACAUAA